UAAGACGUAGGGCGCGAGCGUUGUCCGGAUUUAUUGGGCGUAAAGAGCUCGUAGGCGGCUUGUCGCGUCGACUGUGAAAACCCGUGGCUCAACCAUGUGGUCUGCAGUCGAUACGGGCAGGCUAGAAUUCGGUAGGGGAGACUGGAAUUCCUGGUGUAGCGGUGAAAUGCGCAGAUAUCAGGAGGAACACCGGUGGCGAAGGCGGGUC
This 208-nucleotide ribosomal RNA is filed under the name uncultured bacterium. RNAcentral's name for it is "partial 16S ribosomal RNA". It matches the Rfam family "Bacterial small subunit ribosomal RNA", at positions 521 to 727 of the family's 1533-position model. The record is from RNAcentral.